GACUCUGGAGAAGCCCGCCGGCGUGGCGGGGGCCGAAGGUGCAAGGCGUGUGCGGCGGGUGGCGCGGCGCAUGCCGAAUCUCUCAGGCGAAAGGACAGAGU
Molecule: non-coding RNA, 101 nt
Filed under: human gut metagenome
Description: Glycine riboswitch
Rfam family: Glycine riboswitch aptamer
About the family: This family represents the bacterial glycine riboswitch. Glycine riboswitches usually consist of two metabolite-binding aptamers domains with similar structures in tandem. The aptamers cooperatively bind glycine to regulate the expression of downstream genes.
Source: RNAcentral